This 366-nucleotide long non-coding RNA is filed under the name Physcomitrium patens. RNAcentral describes it as "long non-coding RNA (PPAT_LNC003721)". The record is from RNAcentral. Lineage: Eukaryota; Viridiplantae; Streptophyta; Bryopsida; Funariales; Funariaceae.
CCUCCAAUCCUUCCAUCGGUUUCUGCCUCAACUAAGCUGAAAGGUCUUCAUUGUACUCACCCAGUUCACGGACUUGAGCUUCCAAUUUCAGGAUCUGGGCAUCUCUCAAUUCCAACUGGCACUGAAAGUAACUCCUCUCUUUUGGAACUUCGGGAAUUGGCAACGUCGAUACUUGUGCUUGACCAAUAUUGACUAAAUCCUUUGCCAAUCUUGACACCUCGGUGUUCAAGGCCUCAAUUUUAGCCCUUAACCGCUCCGUUUCACAUCUGUAUUGGUCACUCAAUACCAAUUUCUCUUGCACCAAUAACUCGGUCUUUUUUCGUUCCAUUACCAAUUGACCCUUCGCUUUUUCCAAUUCCAAAAUUA